AUGGAAGCCCCAGCGCAGCUUGUCUGCCUCCUGCUGCUCUGGCUCCCAGGCACCUUUGGAGAAAUUAUCCUGACACAGUCUCCAGCCUCCCUAUCAUUGUCACGAGGAGAUCAGGCCAGGAUCUCCUGCCGAGUCAGUCAGUUUAUUAUCAGCUCAUUAUACUGGUACCAGCAGAGACCUGGGCAGGCUCCCAGGCUCCUCAUCUACUAUGCAAACAGCAGGCCCGAUGGCAUCCCAGCCCGCUUCAGCAGCAGCGGGUCUGGGACAGACUUCUCGCUCACCAUCACCAGCCUGGAGCCUGAGGAUGUCGCCAUUUACUACUAUCAGCAGGAUUACAUACCUCCCACAGUGACACAGGCCUGA
This is a non-coding RNA of Condylura cristata (star-nosed mole), 363 nucleotides long. Lineage: Eukaryota; Metazoa; Chordata; Mammalia; Eulipotyphla; Talpidae. The record is from the annotation of a RefSeq genome assembly.